UACGUAGGGGGCUAGCGUUGUCCGGAAUCAUUGGGCGUAAAGCGCGUGUAGGCGGUCCGGUAAGUCCGCUGUGAAAGUCGGGGGCUCAACCCUCGGAUGCCGGUGGAUACUGUCGGGCUUGAGGUACGGAAGAGGCGAGUGGAAUUCCUGGUGUAGCGGUGAAAUGCGCAGAUAUCAGGAGGAACACCAAUUGCGAAGGCAGCUCGCUGGGACGUUACUGACGCUGAGACGCGAAAGCGUGGGGAGCAA
This 249-nucleotide ribosomal RNA is filed under the name uncultured bacterium. RNAcentral describes it as "partial 16S ribosomal RNA". It matches the Rfam family "Bacterial small subunit ribosomal RNA", at positions 524 to 771 of the family's 1533-position model. The record is from RNAcentral.